CCCCCUCGUACCUUUUGCAUCAUGAUUUAGCUAGCACCUUCAGGCAAAGAGAACUUUAGUCUGAGACCCCGAAACUAGGUGAGCUACUCCAAGACAGCCUAUAAAUUAGGGCAAACCCGUCUCUGUGGCAAAAGAGUGGGAAGAGCUUUGAGUAGAGGUGACAAACCUACCGAACUUAGUUAUAGCUGGUUGCCUGAGAAAUGGAUAGAAGUUCAGCCUCCCGGAUUCUUCAUAAGCCAAGAGAGUUAUUCAAAGGGGGUACAGCCCCUUUGAAACAGGACACAACCUUUAAAGUAGGGUAAAGAUCCUAUUACCCAAGGAGAUUUGUUCUAGUGGGCUUAAAAGCAGCCACCUUAAAAAAAAGCGUUAAAGCUUAUACAUUUAAUACUGAUCAUUUAAUCUCACCCCCCUUAAAUAUACCAGGCCACCCUAUGCUCCCAUAGGGGAGACCAUGCUAAAAUGAGUAAUAAGAGAACUGAUUCUCUCUCUAGCACACACAUAACUCGGAACGGACCCCCCCCCGAACAUUAACGGCCCCAAAUAGAGAGGGAAAUGAAAAAAAACAAGAAAACCUUUCACCGUUAACCCCACACUGGUGUGCCCCCUGAGAAAGACUAAAAGAAAGAGAAGGAACUCGGCAAACAAGCCUCGCCUGUUUACCAAAAACAUCGCCUCUAACCCCCCCCCCCUCCCCGGACCAAACUAAAUGGACCCUGCUUUAAUGUCUUCGGUUGGGGCGACCCUGGGGAAUACAAAACCCCCAUGUGGAAUAGGAGCACUCCUUAAAACAAGAGCCACACCUCUAACUAACAAAACUUUUGACCCAAAUGAUCCGGCAAAGCCGAUCAACGGACAAAGUUACCCUAGGGAUAACAGCGCAAUCCCCUUUUAGAGUCCAUAUCGACAAGGGGGUUUACGACCUCGAUGUUGGAUCAGGACAUCCUAAUGGUGCAG
Molecule: ribosomal RNA, 954 nt
Filed under: Lepidorhombus boscii (fourspotted megrim)
Lineage: Eukaryota; Metazoa; Chordata; Actinopteri; Pleuronectiformes; Scophthalmidae
Description: partial 16S ribosomal RNA
Rfam family: Bacterial large subunit ribosomal RNA
Source: RNAcentral